ACGAACGCUGGCGGCGUGCUUAACACAUGCCAGUCGAACGGUGAAGCGCCUUCCUUUUUGGUGGGUGUGGAUGAGUGGCGAACGGGUGAGUAACACGUGAGUAACCUGCCCCCUUCUUCUGGAUAACCGCAUGAAAGUGUGGCUAAUACGGGAUAUUCUGGGUCUGUCGCAUGAUGGGUCUGGGAAAGAUAUUGGUUCGGUGGGGGAUGGGCUCGCGGCCUAUCAGCUUGUUGGUGGGGUGAUGGCCUACCAAGGCGGUGACGGGUAGCCGGCCUGAGAGGGUGGACGGUCACACUGGGACUGAGACACGGCCCAGACUCCUACGGGAGGCAGCAGGGGGGAAUAUUGCACAAUGGGCGCAAGCCUGAUGCAGCGACGCCGCGUGAGGGAUGGAGGCCUUCGGGUUGUGAACCUCUUUCGCCAGUGAAGCAGGCCUGCCUCGUUUGUGGGUGGGUUGACGGUAGCUGGAUAAGAAGCGCCGGCUAACUACGUG
RNAcentral lists this ribosomal RNA (493 nucleotides) under uncultured bacterium. Its description in RNAcentral is "partial 16S ribosomal RNA". It matches the Rfam family "Bacterial small subunit ribosomal RNA", at positions 29 to 507 of the family's 1533-position model. The record is from RNAcentral.